CUCUCUCUCUCAUCAUUAGUUCAUCCCAACUUCAACAAGAUUCUUUACGCAACCUCAAAACCCCAUUAUAAAUCAAGAUCAAACGAGAGUAUGUAUAUCUAGUUAAUUAAGCUGUUUGAACUGAAUUGAAGAGAAGAAGAACUGAAGAAAGAUAUGCGUUCACUGAAGAAGAAGAGAAGAUGUGAAAUGAAACCCUAGCUAGAUAGGUCAAAGGUCAACUCGGUCUUUGAUCACUUUGUUUCUUUGAGUAAUCUAAUGUGGAAUGAAAGCAGAUUGGUCCGAUUGUUUGAUUAGAUCAAACAAACCUUAUCUUUAUUUGCCAUAUUGUAAACAAGUUCAGUUUACUUUUCAUCUGGGCUUCAUGAGAUUUAGCUUCAAGAUUCAGUUCAUCAUGAUGAGGUAUCAUGAUCAUUAUGGUUGGUCUUUUGACCAACUGGCAUUCAUGAUCAACGAGUCAAUCUGAGGGUUUGCGAUUUGCUUUUUAAUUUGUGUAUCUGAACUGCUUUCAUCAAGAUCGCAAAUAUGCUAGUUGCUGGUUGCAGAGCUCGAGAAAGUUGAAAACAAUAAUGGGGUUUGUUAGUUUGUAUGUAUGGAUGAGGUGUGUUCAUCAUUCGUGAAAUAAAAAGGUUGUGUGAUCAUCAUUUGAGG
Long non-coding RNA from Cynara cardunculus var. scolymus (artichoke), 648 nucleotides. RefSeq lists it as uncharacterized. The transcript is spliced from 2 exons. The record is from RefSeq and is a predicted model, not a curated record. Lineage: Eukaryota; Viridiplantae; Streptophyta; Magnoliopsida; Asterales; Asteraceae.